RNAcentral lists this ribosomal RNA (825 nucleotides) under uncultured bacterium. RNAcentral describes it as "bacterial SSU rRNA". It matches the Rfam family "Bacterial small subunit ribosomal RNA", at positions 61 to 883 of the family's 1533-position model. The record is from RNAcentral.
GUCGAGGGGCAUCAUGAAGUAGCAAUACUUUGAUGGCGACCGGCGCACGGGUGAGUAACGCGUAUGCAACCUGCCCUUUACAGGGGGAUAGCCCAUGGAAACGUGGAUUAAUACCCCAUAGUACCAAUGAAAGGCAUCUUUUAUAGGUAAAAUCUGCGGAGGUAAAGGAUGGGCAUGCGUCCUAUUAGUUAGUUGGCGGGGUAACGGCCCACCAAGGCGAUGAUAGGUAGGGGUUCUGAGAGGAAGGUCCCCCACAUUGGAACUGAGACACGGUCCAAACUCCUACGGGAGGCAGCAGUGAGGAAUAUUGGUCAAUGGCCGAGAGGCUGAACCAGCCAAGUCGCGUGAGGGAUGACUGCCCUAUGGGUUGUAAACCUCUUUUAUAAGGGAAGAAUAAUUAUCACGUGUGAUAUGAUGCCUGUACCUUAUGAAUAAGCAUCGGCUAACUCCGUGCCAGCAGCCGCGGUAAUACGGAGGAUGCGAGCGUUAUCCGGAUUUAUUGGGUUUAAAGGGUGCGUAGGCGGCAUGUUAAGUUAGUGGUAAAAUGUCGGAGCUAAACUCCGGAUCGCCAUUAAUACUGUCAUGCUCGAGUACAGACGAGGUAGGCGGAAUAAGUUAAGUAGCGGUGAAAUGCAUAGAUAUAACUUAGAACUCCGAUCGCGAAGGCAGCUUACCAGACUGUAACUGACGCUGAAGCACGAGAGCGUGGGUAGCAAACAGGAUUAGAUACCCUGGUAGUCCACGCCGUANACGAUGCUCACUGUCUCUCAGCGAUANACAGUUGGGGGUUAAGCGAAAGUAUUAAGUGAGCCACCUGGGGAGUAC